RNAcentral lists this non-coding RNA (117 nucleotides) under Homo sapiens (human). The record is from Rfam by way of RNAcentral. Lineage: Eukaryota; Metazoa; Chordata; Mammalia; Primates; Hominidae.
GCUGGGCGUGGUGGCUCACGCCUGUAAUCCCAGUACUUUGGGAGGCUGAGGCGGGAGGAUCACUUGAGGUCAGGAGUCCGAGACCGGCCUGACCAACAUAAUGAAACCCUGUCUCUA